RNAcentral lists this unclassified non-coding RNA (234 nucleotides) under Hevea brasiliensis (rubber tree). The record is from RNAcentral. Lineage: Eukaryota; Viridiplantae; Streptophyta; Magnoliopsida; Malpighiales; Euphorbiaceae.
GGCAACCCUAAUUUCUCAAUCAAUAAGCUACUAGCAACAUUGUAGUAACUACCACUAUCCACAAUCACACUACAUAGUUUCUCAUUCACCAAACAUCUAGUAUGAAAAAUAUUGUCCCUUUGCACCUCAUCCCUAUCACCCAAACUGACACUGUCCCUCAUCCCCUAGCAACAUUGCAGUAACUACUACUAUCCACAAUCACACUACGUAUUCUCGAUUGACACUGUCUUUUGC